This 27-nucleotide small RNA is filed under the name Arabidopsis thaliana (thale cress). RNAcentral describes it as "ATSL015660". Lineage: Eukaryota; Viridiplantae; Streptophyta; Magnoliopsida; Brassicales; Brassicaceae. The record is from RNAcentral.
CUUCUUCUUCGUCUUCUUUCUUCUUCA